This 1021-nucleotide long non-coding RNA is filed under the name Toxoplasma gondii VEG. Lineage: Eukaryota; Apicomplexa; Conoidasida; Eucoccidiorida; Sarcocystidae. The record is from RNAcentral.
CGAUCUCAAUUGUUGUCAGGAUGUAUAUAUAUAUAUAUAUAUAGAGAGAGAGACAUUUGCCUCUUUCAAUUUCAGUUCGAAAGUGUCGGUCUGUCUGCAAACAAACCGCAAAAUAAUGAGUUCUGUGACGCGGUUCCUUCGUUCCUAGCAACUGGGAGCCACAGCACCAGCAUCGAUUUCAAAGUGGAAUGUUUUUUUUUUCAUCGGGUGUCCUGAAAUGUUCUAUCCCCUCCGGAGGUACCAUGGCAUAGUUCCACUCCAUAGGGUUUCCUGUUGCGUUCAAUCGGGUUACUUGAUCGAGUUUGUUGGCGGUCUCUGAGAACGAGCGUAGAACAACGCUCCAGACAGAAAUUGCAGACAUGAGACCGGGAGCCAGUAGACUGUAACAACAUCUAGUCUUGGAACCCCUUCUUGGCUGUGCGAACAGAAGCAUUUUCCGGUGAACAUUUGCUACGGAAACAUCUUUCCCGUGGUAGGAGCGUCUGAUAGGACAUAACGUGGAUACCACAGAGAACGUGAGACCGGUCACGACGGCUCUCGUACGCGCGGACAAGGUCACGGCGGCUGCCGUAACAAUCAUGCCUCCAAAUGUUAUUAUUGAGACCACAUUAACUUUCCACUGUGACAGUCAUGUUUUUUCAUGUUCUUAUCGGCAUCAUGUUUAUUGUUCAACGAUGCUGUCGUCUGGCAGGUUCUGGUUGUGAAACUGGUUUUCUCAUAUUGUGUCGCCGACGCGGUGUUGAGUGCUGAUGUAUAUUAAAUUGCCUGGGCACCCUGCUUUCGCGGAUUGCCUUAGACACCAAGGACCAAGUACAGCUUUCUUCCCCCGUCUUGAUAUAUCGGCCUGGCUCUCAGAAUACUUACGCGAAUUUCUAAAGCCCUUACCGUCUUCAUCUCAGAAUAGUUACUUGCAUUGCUAAAGGCGUUACCGUUUUCCCAUGCAUCUUGCUAUUCGCCUCGCUGACCCUAGCAACCUACCCAGACAUGACGUUCGUCCUAAACUGUUACACUGGAAUAUCCU